Molecule: long non-coding RNA, 424 nt
Filed under: Medicago truncatula (barrel medic)
Lineage: Eukaryota; Viridiplantae; Streptophyta; Magnoliopsida; Fabales; Fabaceae
Description: lncRNA gene31414
Source: RNAcentral
GAAAAUGUUUUGAAUUCUUAUAAUUCAAAUUGAGAUGUUACAUAUAAAUUUAUUAGGUGCUAGCGCAAUAACUAAAUGACAACUCAUGCAAUAUUCUAUCAUAAGGUAUAUUGCACACUUAUUUUGCUAGCACAACAACCCAUGGAAUCAAAGAGGCCUUUCAGAAGGUACACAUAUGUUGUCAAUGCAUUGAAUAAUAAAAAAUUCGGACCAAUGUUCUUGACAGUCUUUAUCACUUUCACACUCAACAUUUGCUGUAAUGAAAAAAUAUGAUAUAAGAUUGUGUAGAAUUACAAAGUAAAGAAGGAUAAAAAAUUGAAAAGGAUUAAAAUUUGCUCACCACGACGGCCAACUUCCAUUGCAACAACAAAUAAGGGAAGAAAAAGUAUCAUAGCAUAAACACAUUUGAGAAUUUUAGUCAUAU